AAAGGGUCCGUAGGCGGAUCUGUAAGUCAGUGGUGAAAUCUCAUAGCUUAACUAUGAAACUGCCAUUGAUACUGCAGGUCUUGAGUAAGGUAGAAGUAGCUGGAAUAAGUAGUGUAGCGGUGAAAUGCAUAGAUAUUACUUAGAACACCAAUUGCGAAGGCAGGUUACUAUGUCUUAACUGACGCUGAUGGACGAAAGCGUGGGGAGCGAACAGGAUUAGAUACCCGAGU
RNAcentral lists this ribosomal RNA (230 nucleotides) under uncultured bacterium. RNAcentral describes it as "partial 16S ribosomal RNA". It matches the Rfam family "Bacterial small subunit ribosomal RNA", at positions 562 to 791 of the family's 1533-position model. The record is from RNAcentral.